This 230-nucleotide ribosomal RNA is filed under the name uncultured microorganism. RNAcentral describes it as "partial 16S ribosomal RNA". It matches the Rfam family "Bacterial small subunit ribosomal RNA", at positions 524 to 753 of the family's 1533-position model. The record is from RNAcentral.
UACGGAGGGGGCUAGCGUUGUUCGGAAUUACUGGGCGUAAAGCGCACGUAGGCGGCUUUGUAAGUUAGAGGUGAAAGCCCAGGGCUCAACCCUGGAAUUGCCUUUAAGACUGCAUCGCUCGAAUCAUGGAGAGGUGAGUGGAAUUCCGAGUGUAGAGGUGAAAUUCGUAGAUAUUCGGAAGAACACCAGUGGCGAAGGCGACUCACUGGACAUGUAUUGACGCUGAGGUG